GGUUAAGUGACUAAGCGUACACGGUGGAUGCCUUGGCAAUCAGAGGCGAAGAAGGACGUGCUAAUCUGCGAUAAGCUUGGAAGAGUUGAUAAGAAACGUGAUAA
RNAcentral lists this ribosomal RNA (104 nucleotides) under Pasteurella atlantica. Its description in RNAcentral is "partial 23S ribosomal RNA". It matches the Rfam family "Bacterial large subunit ribosomal RNA", at positions 1 to 103 of the family's 2925-position model. Lineage: Bacteria; Pseudomonadati; Pseudomonadota; Gammaproteobacteria; Pasteurellales; Pasteurellaceae. RNAcentral also lists the same sequence under 1 other name. The record is from RNAcentral.